GAUCACUGGCUCAGGACGAACGCUGGCGGCGUGCUUAACACAUGCAAGUCGAACGAGAAUCUAUGGAAAGAGGAUUCGUCCAAUUGAAAUAGAGGACAGUGGCGGACGGGUGAGUAACGCGUGAGGAACCUGCCUUUCAGAGGGGGACAACAGUUGGAAACGACUGCUAAUACCGCAUAACGCGUAGAGGUCGCAUGGCUUUUACGCCAAAGAUUUAUCGCUGAAAGAUGGCCUCGCGU
RNAcentral lists this ribosomal RNA (239 nucleotides) under uncultured bacterium. RNAcentral describes it as "partial 16S ribosomal RNA". It matches the Rfam family "Bacterial small subunit ribosomal RNA", at positions 15 to 236 of the family's 1533-position model. The record is from RNAcentral.